Long non-coding RNA from Gambusia affinis (western mosquitofish), 1039 nucleotides. RefSeq lists it as uncharacterized. The transcript has 5 exons. Lineage: Eukaryota; Metazoa; Chordata; Actinopteri; Cyprinodontiformes; Poeciliidae. The record is from RefSeq and is a predicted model, not a curated record.
CUCUGAAAGGAUGUUUGCACUGAAAAGAAAGUACAGCGACCCCAGCGGAGCCCCGGGGCUUUGGCUCCACAUGAGGCAAUCAGUUUGGCCCAAAAUAGGAGGUCAGACUGCAGAACGGCUCGCUGGGUGUGAAGGAGAAACAACAAAAAGAAGAGAGAAAACUUACGUCCACAGAGAGGUGGAACAGUGCAGAGACGGACUGAGGCAAAGCAAAUCAAGCUGCUAACACUUGUGCAAUUUUUCUCAACAGUGUCUUCAGAAAAAGCAAAGAAGAACUAACUGCGGGCAUUUAACAACUUCGCUAAGCCUGUAACCAGUUCAUUCAUCCAGCCACUGGGGGCGCUGUUAUGAAAAGACUGUCUGUGACUGACUGGAGUGGAGCUGAAGUUGUCUGCCGUUUACGUCCCAAAACUUGAUGAAAACUUCAUAUGGAGAUUCCAACUUUAACGCUGAGUCCAGCCUGGACUUCUGGACCUCAUUAGUUUUCCAAUUAGCCGGUGUCAUCUGCCACCGGUCCUCCCAGUUACUUUGGCCGCCAUGACUCCUCCGCCCUGAUUCGUCUCACCAGGAACAGUGCAGUCAGUGGCAGCAGAGGCUCCCAGUCCAACCAGUACGGCAUGCUCACACUAAACCAGCACACCAGUAGUUUGAGGAAAGUUUUCCAGCCACGCGGAACAAAGAGUCAGGCGGGAAAGUGACGUCAAACAGCUGCGGUUUAAUAAUCGCUGGUAGAAAACCAGUGUGAUCUGGUUUCCAACAGGAUCUUUCAGGUUUGAGGACCCGUCACUCCCACACCUCAGUCACACCGCAGCGACUGGCAGAAACCAACAAGAAAGACAUUAAAGGUGGAGCAGGGUUGAAAAAUACAUUUUAAUUACAAUUCUGGAAAACUGGGGCCAUUAAUUAAUGAUUUAAAUGGAAACCAGCAGCUUUGGAUCCAGUUUCACAGUCAGGAUAUAACUAUUAUAUCCAUUAUUUCAAUGUUUUCUGAUGACGGGACUGAACCGAGUUAUGCAGUAAAACCGAAGGACAAAUUAAA